This 473-nucleotide ribosomal RNA is filed under the name uncultured bacterium. Its description in RNAcentral is "bacterial SSU rRNA". It matches the Rfam family "Bacterial small subunit ribosomal RNA", at positions 504 to 977 of the family's 1533-position model. The record is from RNAcentral.
UGUCCCAGCCGCCGCGGUACUACUGAGGGUGCAAGCGUUAAUCGGAAUAACUGGGCGUAAAGCGCACGCAGGCGGUCGGAUAAGUCAGAUGUGAAAGCCCCGGGCUCAACCUGGGAACUGCAUUUGAAACUGUCCGACUAGAGUCUUGUAGAGGGGGGUAGAAUUCCAGGUGUAGCGGUGAAAUGCGUAGAGAUCUGGAGGAAUACCGGUGGCGAAGGCGGCCCCCUGGACAGAGACUGACGCUCAGGUGCGAAAGCGUGGGGAGCAAACAGGAUUAGAUACCCUGGUAGUCCACGCUGUAAACGAUGUCAACUUGGAGUCUGUGCCAUUGAGCGUGGGCUCCGAAGCUAACGCGAUAAGUUGACCGCCUGGGGAGUACGGCCGCAAGGUUAAAACUCAAAUGAAUUGACGGGGGCCCGCACAAGCGGUGGAGCAUGUGGUUUAAUUCGAUGCACCGCGAAGAACCUUACCUG